RNAcentral lists this ribosomal RNA (478 nucleotides) under uncultured bacterium. RNAcentral describes it as "partial 16S ribosomal RNA". It matches the Rfam family "Bacterial small subunit ribosomal RNA", at positions 28 to 523 of the family's 1533-position model. The record is from RNAcentral.
GACGAACGCUGGCGGCAUGCUUAACACAUGCAAGUCGAACGGUAAGGCCCUUCGGGGUACACGAGUGGCGAACGGGUGAGUAACACGUGGGUGAUCUGCCCUGCACUUCGGGAUAAGCCUGGGAAACUGGGUCUAAUACCGGAUAGGACCCUGGGAUGCAUGUCCUGGGGUGGAAAGCUUUUGCGGUGUGGGAUGGGCCCGCGGCCUAUCAGCUUGUUGGUGGGGUGAUGGCCCACCAAGGCGACGACGGGUAGCCGGCCUGAGAGGGGGACCGGCCAAACUGGGACGGAGAUACGGCCCAGACUCCUACGGGAGGCAGCAGAGGGGAAUAUUGCACAAUGGGCUCAAGCCUGAGGCAGCGACGCCGCGUGAGGGAUGACGGCCUUCGGGUUGUGAACCUCUUUCAGCACCGACGAAGCGCAAGUGACGGUAGGUGCAGAAGAAGGACCGGCCAACUACGUGCCAGCCGCCGCCGUAA